CCAGAUCUUAGGCGAAUAUUCCUCUUUCCUUCAGCUUCUCCAGCUUCCCCAUUUCUUCUUUUGUUUCUCAAACAUCUCAUCACCUUUGUGACCAAUUAUCUGAAUUAAAUCUCUUCUGUUGAACCCUUGGCACGUCUCUGUGUGUCUGAUGAGACCUUGUCUAAUACAGGGCUUGGGAUCAGGAGGGGGUUUGAAGAUUGAGAUGAUGGUCUGCAGCUUUGACCUUGCGCACAGGGACGGCCUUAAUGCCAGUGGAAAAUGGAGACGCAGUGGUUAGUCUAAAGCAGCAGCAUCACAAUUCUGUAACUGUCACCACCUGUGGUUGCCUGAGACGGAGGACAUACUGAAAGGAAAGCUUUGGGAGAGCGAGAAGCUGAUGCACUUGACCGCUAAGGAUCCUUGAAGUUAAAUGAAAGACAGCCUGGUGUGUGGACUGCCACUUGCCCAGCACCUACACCAGACACCCUUCACUGAUGACCGCACUCUCCUCUAAGCCCAACAGCAAUCCUUCUCAACUCAGCACCGCUGGCAGCUUCUAGUGACCAACUUGGCAAGGAGAUGAAACCCACUUGCCAUCCUGAGUUAGGUUUGGAUGGAAAACAGCAAGCCAGAGUGGUCAGUGAAGUGAGGGCUUUGAGAACUAAGGGCAGCAUGAGGGUCCCAUGAGAGGGGGAGUGAUGGAUAGUAAGUAAGGAAGGACCCAUGGAGCAUGUGCUCUGUGUGGGCACUGUUUCCAGCAGGGGCAGACUAAGUUGGAUAGAAGUUGUGUAAGUCAGAGUUCUUGCUUACCAACAAUAGAGUUCAUCAACCAAAAAGGAAUGCAGAGGUGUCACUCGAAGAAUCUCCAAGAUGGUCAGAAACUUGGUUUGGAGCCUACACAGCUGAAUGACACUUAAAUUAUACCAUGGAACCACCCCAAGGGAGAUGCUCCUGCUCCAGCCACAAUACAGCACUACAGACAGAACCAUCAACCCUGAGCCCCGAAGCCCUUCGAGGAGUGGUUACUGCUGCCUUUAAAGCUGGGUCACCAGGUCCACUCACCACGAUGAACCCCCAUCAGGAUCCACCUUCUAACCCAACUUCAGCUCUGCAUCAGAUUGCAUCAGCUUGACUGAGACCAGGUCACAUGCCUGUGCCCAGCUGCAAGGCAGGCUGGGAAAGCAAGUUUCUGGCUUCACAGAAGUGAGAAUCCUAAGAAGCUGUAUUGGUUAUCUAUUAUUGCAUAACAAAUUGCCCUAAAACAUGAUGGCCUCCAUCAACAAUGUUCCUUCUUACCUCUCAGUUUCUUUGGGUGGGGGACUUACUCAGGGCAAAGUAGGGAUGGCUUGUCUCUGCUCCCCAAUGUCUGGGGCCUCAGCCAGUAGCGUCAAAGCCUGGGGGCCAGAAUCAUCUGAAGACACAUUGCUUACGUGUCUGUGUGUGUUGGCUGUCUGCAAAGACCUUAGCUGGGCUGAUGGCUGCACACCCACAUGUGGCCUCUCCAGUGUGGCUUGGGCUUCCUCACAACACGGAGGCUGGGUCCCCCAGGCAAGCAUCCCCACAGAAAGCAGUCAGAGCCCUGUCUUUUUACAACCCAGGCUUGCAAGUGACGUGGCUUCAUCGCUUGCUCCUACUCCAUUGAUCAGAGCAGUCACAGCCUCCACCCAGACUCGACAGGAAGGAUCACAGAGCCCACCUCUCCAUGAAAGGAAUGACAGUAAUAAGUAAUAAGAAUAUAUGGGAUGGUUUCACUCUAUCAGCAUGAGCAUCUUUGGAAAAUCCAAUUUGUCAUGGGGGACAAUUCUGCAAACCGAGGAAGGGUGUGCUAAUGUGCUAGGAGACCAGAAGCAUGAUAAGUGUCCUCCACUGUCUAUUUCAGAUUGCCAGUGCUGGCCACAUGCUCCC
This is a long non-coding RNA of Equus caballus (horse), 1884 nucleotides long. NCBI's taxonomy places the organism in Eukaryota, Metazoa, Chordata, Mammalia, Perissodactyla, Equidae. The record is from Ensembl.